Molecule: ribosomal RNA, 380 nt
Filed under: uncultured Parabacteroides sp.
Lineage: Bacteria; Pseudomonadati; Bacteroidota; Bacteroidia; Bacteroidales; Tannerellaceae
Description: bacterial SSU rRNA
Rfam family: Bacterial small subunit ribosomal RNA
Source: RNAcentral
UGAGGAAUAUUGGUCAAUGGGCGCGAGCCUGAACCAGCCAAGUCGCGUGAAGGAUGAAGGUUCUAUGGAUUGUAAACUUCUUUUAUGGGGGAAUAAAGUGCGGGACGAGUCCUGUUUUGUAUGUACCUCAUGAAUAAGCAUCGGUUAACUCCGUGCCAGCAGCCGCGGUAAUACGGAGGAUGCGAGCGUUAUCCGGAUUCAUUGGGUUUAAAGGGUGCGUAGGUGGCCUUUUAAGUCAGCGGUGAAAGUUUGUGGCUCAACCAUAAAAUUGCCGUUGAAACUGGAGGGCUUGAGUAUGUUUGGGGCAGGCGGAAUGUGUGGUGUAGCGGUGAAAUGCAUAGAUAUCACGCAGAACUCCGAUCGCGAAGGCAGUUUGCCAA